CUGGGAAACUGCCUGAUGGAGGGGGAUAACUACUGGAAACGGUAGCUAAUACCGCAUAACGUCGCAAGACCAAAGAGGGGGACCUUCGGGCCUCUUGCCAUCGGAUGUGCCCAGAUGGGAUUAGCUAGUAGGUGGGGUAACGGCUCACCUAGGCGACGAUCCCUAGCUGGUCUGAGAGGAUGACCAGCCACACUGGAACUGAGACACGGUCCAGACUCCUACGGGAGGCAGCAGUGGGGAAUAUUGCACAAUGGGCGCAAGCCUGAUGCAGCCAUGCCGCGUGUAUGAAGAAGGCCUUCGGGUUGUAAAGUACUUUCAGCGGGGAGGAAGGGAGUAAAGUUAAUACCUUUGCUCAUUGACGUUACCCGCAGAAGAAGCACCGGCUAACUCCGUGCCAGCAGCCGCGGUAAUACGGAGGGUGCAAGCGUAAU
Molecule: ribosomal RNA, 431 nt
Filed under: Escherichia coli
Lineage: Bacteria; Pseudomonadati; Pseudomonadota; Gammaproteobacteria; Enterobacterales; Enterobacteriaceae
Description: bacterial SSU rRNA
Rfam family: Bacterial small subunit ribosomal RNA
Source: RNAcentral